Molecule: long non-coding RNA, 663 nt
Filed under: Coffea arabica (coffee)
Lineage: Eukaryota; Viridiplantae; Streptophyta; Magnoliopsida; Gentianales; Rubiaceae
Description: long non-coding RNA (CARA_LNC006915)
Source: RNAcentral
GUAAUAAAAAGAACAUGAUUUGAAACUCAUUCUUUAGAAGAAAGGUUUUUUCUCUUUUGGUAAUUUUAUUUUUUCACAAGGUAGGUGAGCAUGUUUUGUUUCCUAUGCUAAGGAACUACCUCUCACUAUAUUCAAAUGCAUCUAGAACUUGAGGGAAUCUAGGUAAAGAAACAAAUAAGGACAAGAAUUGGGGAACAAUAUAUGCCCUAGUAUUUUACAAUCAUCAUUUCAUGCAAGUCCCUGUAUUCCUUUCAACGAGGUAAUCCAAUGUUCAUCAAUACUUAGAUACAGGAACACGAGGCAAUAAGAAAUUCUUAUCCUAAAAAAUGCUUUGAUUUCUUAAUGCAUCUCUAAUGAAUAUCUAAUAGAUAAUUUGUAGGCAAAGAAAAUUGAGAAAAAAAUAAAACAAGAACCUCCCUUCUUGAUAUCCUUGAGGAUUUGGAAGAGGUGAAGGAAUAAAGUUGACCUGUAUUUUGAUAAAUAAUGAACAAAAUAUUCUAGUACGACAAAUUCAAUUUCUUUCUUUACAACUUACAUGCAUUAACAAAAGCAAGUAAAUUCCAAGUAAAAGCCAAGGUUAUAUCAAUACUAUAUAAAAAAGUGUGUUGGAUUAUUUAUAUUUUGACGUUCUUUACUUUUUUGAUAGAUCUAUGUUACCCUCGU